Long non-coding RNA from Eriocheir sinensis (Chinese mitten crab), 1527 nucleotides. RefSeq lists it as uncharacterized. The transcript is spliced from 3 exons. NCBI's taxonomy places the organism in Eukaryota, Metazoa, Arthropoda, Malacostraca, Decapoda, Varunidae. The record is from RefSeq and is a predicted model, not a curated record.
AAAGAAGUAAAAAAAAAAUCAAACCCCAAUACAAAAUGUGAGGGUAAAGGUUAAGGAUCACAUUUCUUUGCGUCAAAAAGGAGCAAUGGUUUCACCCGACGAGAAGAAAACUUUUAAAAUCGCCAAAGUAUUAAUGAAAGCUCCGUUCACAGCUUGGAAAUAACGACCGGUAAACUUGGUUAAGCUUUAAGAUCGAUCAAAACAAAACAAAAGUCAUCGGCCAGUGAGUAUAUGUCUUGAACGACUUGAGAAAAAAAAAAAGGACAAUAAUUAAUCUCACAUUGCAGUUCAAACUGUCCUUGCGCAAUGGAACACCCGAAACAAAUACCGUGUGUGUGUGUGUGUGUGUGUGUGUGUGUGUGUGUGUGUGUGUGUGUGUGUGUGUGUGUGUGUGUGUGUGUGUGUGUGUGUGUGUGUGUGUGUGUGUGUGUGUGUGUGUGUGUGUGUGUGUGUGUGUGUGUGUGUGUGUGUGUGUGUGUGUGUGUGUGUGUGUGUGUGUGUGUGUGUGUGUGUGUGUGUGUGUGUGUGUGUGUGUGUGUGUGUGUGUGUGUGUGUGGGGGUGUGUGUGUGUGUGUGUGUGUGGCGGGGGGAGGGUACUGUGUGUCGAUGUAUGUGAUGCCGUGUGAUAUGAUAUGAUUCACAGUGAUGGCGUGUGGUAAGUUUCCUUUCCAGGUAAUAUUGUGUAAUAUGUUUCCUUUCCAGGUAAUGUUGUGUGAUAUGUUUCCUUUUCAGGUAAUGUUGUGUGAUAUGUUUCCUUUUCAGGUAAUGUUGUGUGAAAUGUUUCCUUAACAGGUAAUGUUGUGUGAUAUGUUUCCUUUUCAGGUAAUGUUGUGUGAUAUAUUUCCUUUCCAGGUAAUGUUGUGUGAUAUGUUUCCUUUCCAGGUAAUGUUGUGUGAUAUGUUUCCUUUUCAGGUAAUGUUGUGUGAUAUGUUUCCUUCCCAGGUAAUGUUGUGUGAUAUGUUUACUUUUCAGGUAAUGUUUUGUGAUAUGUUUCCUUCCCAGGUAAUGUUGUGUGAUAUAUUUCCUUUCCAGGUAAUGUUGUGUGAUAUGUUUCCUUUCCAGGUAAUGUUGUGUGAUAUGUUUCCUUACCAGGUAAUGUUGUGUGAUAUAUUUCCUUUCCAGGUAAUGUUGUGUGAUAUGUUUCCUUCCCUGGUAAUGUUGUGUGAUAUGUUUACUUUUCAGGUAAUGUUUUGUGAUAUGUUUCCUUCCCAGGUAAUGUUGUGUGACAAUUAUGUUUCCUUUCCAGGUAAUGUUGUGUCAUAUAUUUCCUUUCCAGGUAAUGUUGUGUGAUAUGAUUCCUUUCCAGGUAAUGUUGUGUGAUAUGUUUCCUUUCCAGGUAAUGUUGUGUGAUAUGAUUCCUUUCCAGGUAAUGUUGUGUGAUAUGUUUCCUUUCCAGGUAAUGUUGUGUAAUAUGUUUCCUUUCCAGGUAAUGUUGUGUGAUAUGUUUCCUUUCCAGGUAAUGUUGUGUGAUAUGUUUCCUUUCCAGGUAAUGUUGUGUGAUAUAUUUCCUUUCCAGGUAAUGUUGUG